AGCAGCCGCGGUAAUUCCAGCUCCAAUAGCGUAUAUUAAGGUUGCUGCGGUUAAAAAGCUCGUAGUUGAAUUUCGGGAUUGACACAUCGGUCGUGCCUUAAGGGGUAUGAACUGGCGUAGCCAAUUCCUCACCUUCUGGUGAAUUGUGAUGCCUCUUUAACUGGGUGUUUCAAUGAACUAGGACUUUUACUUUGAAAAAAUUAGAGUGUUUAAAGCAGGCAUUAUUUGCUUGAAUACAUUAGCAUGGAAUAAUAAAAUAGGACGGAUGAUUCUAUUUUGUUGGUUUCUAGGAUCACUGUAAUGAUUAAUAGGGAUAGUUGGGGGCAUUAGUAUUCAAUUGUCAGAGGUGAAAUUCUUGGAUUAAUUGAAGACUAACUACUGCGAAAGCAUUUGCCAAGGAUGUUUUCAUUAAUCAAGAACGAAAGUUAGGGGAUCGAAGACGAUUAGGUACGUCGUAGUCUUAACCAUAAACUAUGCCGACUAGGAAUCAGACAACGUUAAAUUUUUAAUGACUUGUUUGGCACCUUACG
Molecule: ribosomal RNA, 530 nt
Filed under: uncultured Entrophosporaceae
Lineage: Eukaryota; Fungi; Glomeromycota; Glomeromycetes; Entrophosporales; Entrophosporaceae
Description: SSU rRNA
Rfam family: Eukaryotic small subunit ribosomal RNA
Source: RNAcentral